This 112-nucleotide ribosomal RNA is filed under the name Danio rerio (zebrafish). Lineage: Eukaryota; Metazoa; Chordata; Actinopteri; Cypriniformes; Danionidae. The record is from RNAcentral.
GCUAGCAGCCAGCUCUCUGCAACCACAUGGUCGCCCACUUAAGAUAAGCAGGGCUGCGCCCGGUCAGUACGUGGAUGGGAGACCACAUGGGAAAGCUUGGUUACUGCAGGUA